GACGAACGCUGGCGGCGUGCCUAAUACAUGCAAGUAGAACGCUGAAGGAGGAGCUUGCUUCUCUGGAUGAUUUGCGAACGGGGGAGUAACGCGUAUGUAACCUCCCUCUUAGCGAGGGAUAAAUAUUGGAAACGAUAGCUAAUACCGCAUAAUAUUAUAUGUUGCAUGACAUUUGCUUGUAAGAUGCAAUUUUAUCACUACCAAAUGGACCUGCGGUGUAUUAUCUAGUUGUUGGUGUAACGGCUCAACAAGGCGACGAUACAUAGACGACCCCAGAGGGUGAGAGGACAAAAUGGGAAUGAGAAAAGGCCCAGAAUCCUAAGGGAGGCAGCAGUAGGGAAUUUUCGGGAAUGGACGGAAGUCUGAACGAGCAACGCCGCGUGAGUGAAGAAGGUUUUCGGAUCGUAAAGAUCUGUUGUAAGAGAAGAAAGGGUGUGAGAGUGGACAGUGCACACUGUGACGGUAUCUUACCAGAAAGGGACGGCUAACUACGUG
Molecule: ribosomal RNA, 495 nt
Filed under: uncultured bacterium
Lineage: Bacteria
Description: partial 16S ribosomal RNA
Rfam family: Bacterial small subunit ribosomal RNA
Source: RNAcentral